Molecule: long non-coding RNA, 543 nt
Organism: Salvelinus sp. IW2-2015
Lineage: Eukaryota; Metazoa; Chordata; Actinopteri; Salmoniformes; Salmonidae
Source: RefSeq, a predicted model, not a curated record
GGCGAAUAUCCAACUUGAAACUGACUUUACCUCGAUCACUUGUGUAGUUGGAAGCUCCGUUAUUUAUUUCGGGUCCGAAACGUCAGGUUGUAGUCCAGCUGCAGGAGGAAGUGUCCCAGAGGAAACAGGAAGUAGCUGAGGUUAAGGGUCAGACGAAGCAGCUCAGCCGGACGCUGAAAGUGGAGAGUAGCCCAGAGGAGUCUGAGGAGAGAGGCCCAAGUCUGCCAGGAGACCAAUGACUCUCUGAACCUGCAGAGCAAAAGCAGCCUAGUGGCCCUGGAGUAGAUACAGACUAGGCAUAAGAGGCUGAGAUUGAAGAUCAUCCAGGCUGUGUUCUCUUCUCCUGGAGCCAAACACCCCCAGACUGCCCCCUGAAGGACAGCUUGUUACAUGAUUUUGAAUGCUGAACUUUAAUUAACCAAGCAUGUACUUUGAGGGAUUUGGGGCCGUUUUUGAUGUAGACAUGGAUGUCGUCUGCAAAACUGUGGAAGAGGACCCCAAGUCAUCKGACUACAUGACCAAGUGGAAGUAGGCAGAGKAUGA